RNAcentral lists this ribosomal RNA (631 nucleotides) under uncultured bacterium. Its description in RNAcentral is "bacterial SSU rRNA". It matches the Rfam family "Bacterial small subunit ribosomal RNA", at positions 251 to 882 of the family's 1533-position model. The record is from RNAcentral.
GGUGGGGUAACGGCUCACCAAGGCGACGAUACAUAGGGGGACUGAGAGGUUAACCCCCCACACUGGUACUGAGACACGGACCAGACUCCUACGGGAGGCAGCAGUGAGGAAUAUUGGUCAAUGGACGCAAGUCUGAACCAGCCAUGCCGCGUGCAGGAUGACGGCUCUAUGAGUUGUAAACUGCUUUUGUACGAGGGUAAACGCAGAUACGUGUAUCUGUCUGAAAGUAUCGUACGAAUAAGGAUCGGCUAACUCCGUGCCAGCAGCCGCGGUAAUACGGAGGAUUCAAGCGUUAUCCGGAUUUAUUGGGUUUAAAGGGUGCGUAGGCGGUUUGAUAAGUUAGAGGUGAAAUUUCGGGGCUCAACCCUGAACGUGCCUCUAAUACUGUUGAGCUAGAGAGUAGUUGCGGUAGGCGGAAUGUAUGGUGUAGCGGUGAAAUGCUUAGAGAUCAUACAGAACACCGAUUGCGAAGGCAGCUUACCAAACUAUAUCUGACGUUGAGGCACGAAAGCGUGGGGAGCAAACAGGAUUAGAUACCCUGGUAGUCCACGCAGUAAACGAUGAUAACUCGUUGUCGGCGAUACACAGUCGGUGACUAAGCGAAAGCGAUAAGUUAUCCACCUGGGGAGUA